AUGAUUGCAUUCUGUUGGUUAUUGACAAAUUCAUCAAAUAUGGACAUUUCAUGCCCCUGCGACAUCCAUUCACUGCUCAAAAAGUUGCGUAGGUUUUCCUGGAUAAUGUUUAUAAAUUACAUGGCAUGCCUGAGCUCAUUGUCUGCGACAGGGAUCCUGUUUUUACCAGCAAUUUCUGGCAGACUCUUAUUUAACAGAACUGGCACUCAUUUGAAUAUGAGCUCGGCUUAUCAUCCAGCUAUGGAUGGGCAGACUGAACGGGUUAAUCAGCAGGUGGAGUGCUAUUUGCGGAGUUUCAUCGGUUCUCAUCCUACUAAAUGGAGCAAGUGGCUGUCGCUCUGUGAGUUUUGGUACAACACCAAUUGGCAUUCUGCUGUGGGGAAAUCACCAUUUGAAGUUUUGUAUGGGCAACCUCUCAGGUAUUUUGGUAUUUCUCCAUUAGACACAAUUCCUCCUUUGGACAUUCAACAGUGGUUGCAAGAUCGAUAG
Molecule: ribosomal RNA, 489 nt
Filed under: Triticum aestivum (bread wheat)
Lineage: Eukaryota; Viridiplantae; Streptophyta; Magnoliopsida; Poales; Poaceae
Description: partial small subunit ribosomal RNA
Source: RNAcentral